This is a non-coding RNA of Paramuricea clavata, 577 nucleotides long. The record is from the annotation of a GenBank genome assembly. Lineage: Eukaryota; Metazoa; Cnidaria; Anthozoa; Malacalcyonacea; Plexauridae.
CCGUAAUAUAUAACAACUGUUAUUUAUUCUGUUUUUGUAUGAACUUUUAGAUUUAUUGAUAUCUUCCGACGUAACUGCCCCGUAACGUUGUUCGUUUACUGUUAUAAAGGCUUUUGCUAUGCAUACUCUCGGUAGCUGUUUACACAAUCUGUACUUCGUCAAUCGUAGACCACGACGACCAGCGACGAACGCAAACUAUUAGUUCGGGCUCAUUCCUCUCCGUUUAAUACACAUCUCAUUGGCAACCUUGCAAAAUUUAAAUGUACGUUUGAUUUCCGAAUUUGGACAAUAUAAAUUUUUAACUCAGGGUGAUACAAUAAAUUCAUUAUUAGCUAGGUUUUGUAAAGGCAUCGGCUCUUGAAGUACUGUUUAAUAAACGAGCAAGAGUGUUUUAUUAGGUUUAAAGCCACGAGCGCGCAACGCGAGUGGCUUUAGACCUAAUAAAACACGACCUGCGAGUAAACAGCUUCAAACACGACUACAAAUUCAAUAGAUAUACUGCCUUAUUAGUAUUCUUUAUAUAAAGAGUACUAAUGAGGACACGACUACAAUAGAUACUGCCUUAUUAGUAUUCUUU